Molecule: ribosomal RNA, 427 nt
Filed under: uncultured beta proteobacterium
Lineage: Bacteria; Pseudomonadati; Pseudomonadota; Betaproteobacteria
Description: partial 16S ribosomal RNA
Rfam family: Bacterial small subunit ribosomal RNA
Source: RNAcentral
UGGGGAAUUUUGGACAAUGGGCGAAAGCCUGAUCCAGCCAUGCCGCGUGAGUGAAGAAGGCCCUCGGGUUGUAAAGCUCUUUUGUCCGGGAGGAAAUCCCGUAACCUAAUACGUUGCGGGGAUGACAGUACUGGAAGAAUAAGCACCGGCUAACUACGUGCCAGCAGCCGCGGUAAUACGUAGGGUGCAAGCGUUAAUCGGAAUUACUGGGCGUAAAGCGUGCGCAGGCGGUUUGAUAAGUCAGAUGUGAAAUCCCCGGGCUUAACCUGGGAACUGCGUUUGAAACUGUCAAGCUAGAGUACGUCAGAGGGGGGUGGAAUUCCACGUGUAGCAGUGAAAUGCGUAGAGAUGUGGAGGAACACCGAUGGCGAAGGCAGCCCCCUGGGAUGAUACUGACGCUCAUGCACGAAAGCGUGGGGAGCAAACA